RNAcentral lists this ribosomal RNA (253 nucleotides) under uncultured bacterium. Its description in RNAcentral is "partial 16S ribosomal RNA". It matches the Rfam family "Bacterial small subunit ribosomal RNA", at positions 524 to 776 of the family's 1533-position model. The record is from RNAcentral.
UACGUAGGGGGCAAGCGUUGUCCGGAAUUAUUGGGCGUAAAGAGCGCGUAGGCGGUCCGAUAAGUCGGCUGUGAAAGUCAGGGGCUCAACCCUUGGAAGCCGGCCGAUACUGUCGGACUAGAGUCCGGAAGAGGCGAGUGGAAUUCCCGGUGUAGCGGUGAAAUGCGCAGAUAUCGGGAGGAACACCAAUGGCGAAGGCAGCUCGCUGGGACGGUACUGACGCUGAGACGCGAAAGCGUGGGUAGCAAACAGG